Long non-coding RNA from Cottoperca gobio, 506 nucleotides. RefSeq lists it as uncharacterized. The transcript is spliced from 3 exons. Lineage: Eukaryota; Metazoa; Chordata; Actinopteri; Perciformes; Bovichtidae. The record is from RefSeq and is a predicted model, not a curated record.
AUGUGCUUAAUGCUUCUACCUAUAAUUAAUGUUCUCCAUUUCUUCAACUUAAAUGCUUUACAUAUUCUAGUAGUGUGUCUGACAUAUGCGGGGAUAUCUCGUGUUACAGGACAUUACUGGUAAACUGGUCGUAAAGGUGUUGUGGAGGAAGUGGGUCUUCGCUUCCCACGCAGAGGAGGGUUUUCCGGUUAAAGUUUCCUUUGUGAUUCGGAAGUGUCGGUGUGAUGCCGUUUAUCCUCACAGACACAACACACAAGUGGCGACCAUGAAAAAACCGUUCAAAGCUUUGUCCUGCUGAAACGCCCCUUCAGGAUUUAGUAAUACAGGUCUCGCCGUCACCCUGGCAACGCUGCACCCACAGAGAGGGGAGGAGCCAAGUCCUGGUAGCAUGGAAGUCGCCUGGGCGCCGGGCUUGGCCCUGAGUCCUCAGAGCGAGGCGGUGACCAGCGAGCUUCAGGAGCUGACGUUGCAGCCUGGACUCCCCCCGUGGCCUCUGCAGGAGAGGA